UGUAACACCAGCAUGGCCAAGUAAACUACCUGAAGCUCCAGUCAAUUGAUGUUGUGGUGGUAUUCUGACUGUCCAUCGUCCUUGCGCAUUGAGAUUCAAGCACUGGCCCCCCCAUCCUGACAAGCUUGCAUCUGUGGCACUGAGACCUCUGAGACAGAAGAGGUUGAGCUAGAGGAAGAAGACGGAUUAUUUCUGGUCCGUUUACGCUUCUUGGACUUUAAUUGGUCAUAUCUUUCAAAGGAAUUUUUCAAUGGGCGCAUAGCAAGCUCCAGAACCAAGGAGGCGGGGCAGAGCCCUGGAUAAGGUCAC
Molecule: long non-coding RNA, 309 nt
Organism: Hemicordylus capensis (graceful crag lizard)
Lineage: Eukaryota; Metazoa; Chordata; Lepidosauria; Squamata; Cordylidae
Exons: 3
Source: RefSeq, a predicted model, not a curated record